RNAcentral lists this ribosomal RNA (497 nucleotides) under uncultured bacterium. Its description in RNAcentral is "partial 16S ribosomal RNA". It matches the Rfam family "Bacterial small subunit ribosomal RNA", at positions 28 to 507 of the family's 1533-position model. The record is from RNAcentral.
GAUGAACGCUGGCGGCGUGCCUAAUACAUGCAAGUCGAGCGAACGGACGAGAAGCUUGCUUCUCUGAUGUUAGCGGCGGACGGGUGAGUAACACGUGGAUAACCUACCUAUAAGACUGGGAUAACUUCGGGAAACCGUAGCUAAUACCGGAUAAUAUUUUGAACCGCAUGGUUCAAAAGUGAAAGACGGUCUUGCUGUCACUUAUAGAUGGAUCCGCGCUGCAUUAGCUAGUUGGUAAGGUAACGGCUUACCAAGGCAACGAUGCAUAGCCGACCUGAGAGGGUGAUCGGCCACACUGGAACUGAGACACGGUCCAGACUCCUACGGGAGGCAGCAGUAGGGAAUCUUCCGCAAUGGGCGAAUGCCUGACGGAGCAACGCCGCGUGAGUGAUGAAGGUCUUCGGAUCGUAAAACUCUGUUAUUAGGGAAGAACAUAUGUGUAAGUAACUGUGCACAUCUUGACGGUACCUAAUCAGAAAGCCACGGCUAACUACGUG